This 239-nucleotide long non-coding RNA is filed under the name Vigna radiata. Its description in RNAcentral is "long non-coding RNA (VRAD_LNC013811)". The record is from RNAcentral. Lineage: Eukaryota; Viridiplantae; Streptophyta; Magnoliopsida; Fabales; Fabaceae.
GAGCGGCUUAAGGCAGGAGUUAUUUUUCUAACCUCCUGCGUCGGCCGGAGAUUUCUGAAGCCCUUUUUCGGACUUCCCCCGAGCGGCUUGAGGCAGGAGUUAUUUUUCUAACUUCCUGCGUUGAGCGGGGAUUUUUGAAACCCUUUUUCAGACUUCCCCCCGAGUAGCUUGAGGCAGGAGUUAUUUUUCUAACUUCCCGCGUUGAGCGGAGAUUUUUGAAGUCCUUUUUUGGACUUUCC